Molecule: ribosomal RNA, 731 nt
Filed under: uncultured bacterium
Lineage: Bacteria
Description: bacterial SSU rRNA
Rfam family: Bacterial small subunit ribosomal RNA
Source: RNAcentral
AACAGGAUUAGAUACCCUGGUAGUCCAUGCCGUAAACGAUGAGUGCUAGGUGUUGGAGGGUUUCCGCCCUUCAGUGCCGCAGCUAACGCAUUAAGCACUCCGCCUGGGGAGUACGACCGCAAGGUUGAAACUCAAAGGAAUUGACGGGGGCCCGCACAAGCGGUGGAGCAUGUGGUUUAAUUCGAAGCUACGCGAAGAACCUUACCAGGUCUUGACAUCUUGCGCUAACCUAAGAGAUUAGGCGUUCCCUUCGGGGACGCAAUGACAGGUGGUGCAUGGUCGUCGUCAGCUCGUGUCGUGAGAUGUUGGGUUAAGUCCCGCAACGAGCGCAACCCUUGUUACUAGUUGCCAGCAUUCAGUUGGGCACUCUAGUGAGACUGCCGGUGACAAACCGGAGGAAGGUGGGGAUGACGUCAGAUCAUCAUGCCCCUUAUGACCUGGGCUACACACGUGCUACAAUGGUCGGUACAACGAGUCGCUAACCCGCGAGGGCAAGCUAAUCUCUUAAAGCCGAUCUCAGUUCGGACUGUAGGCUGCAACUCGCCUACACGAAGUCGGAAUCGCUAGUAAUCGCGGAUCAGCAUGCCGCGGUGAAUACGUUCCCGGGCCUUGUACACACCGCCCGUCACGCCAUGAGAGUUUGUAACACCCAAAGCCGGUGGGGUAACCUUUUAGGAGCCAGCCGUCUAAGGUGGGACAGAUGAUUAGGGUGAAGUCGUAACAAGGUAACC